UCCGGUUUGUCACCGGCAGUCUCGCAUGAGUCCCCAACUUAAUGCUGGCAACAUGCGACGGGGGUUGCGCUCGUUGCCGGACUUAACCGAACAUCUCACGACACGAGCUGACGACAGCCAUGCAACACCUGUGUUCCCGCCAGCCGAACUGAAGGAUGAGGUCUCCCCCACCCACACGGGACAUGUCAAAAGCUGGUAAGGUUCUUCGCGUUGCGUCGAAUUAAACCACAUGCUCCACCGCUUGUGCGGGCCCCCGUCAAUUCCUUUGAGUUUCACCCUUGCGGGCGUACUCCCCAGGUGGAUAACUUAACGCUUUCGCUAAGACGCUGGCCGUGUAUCGCCAACAUCGAGUUAUCAUCGUUUACAGCGUGGACUAC
RNAcentral lists this unclassified non-coding RNA (377 nucleotides) under uncultured bacterium. RNAcentral describes it as "contains 16S-23S intergenic spacer region". The record is from RNAcentral.